UUUUAGGUGUAUUCGGUUUUCCAAGGGUUAAUGAUUCAAGUAACUUGUCCGCAAAUGAUACAAAUGCCAAUAUAACUCCUCAAGAAACACGUAAUGACUGGCUCACAAAUUUAAGAAAUUUCUAUUCUGAAUUUUAUAAUCGAGUUUUUCAUCCUCAAAUUUCAACAAGUAACUUGUCCGCAGAUGAUACAAAUAACAUUACGACUUCAGAUCAUACUGAUGCAAAUACAACUCCUCUAGAUACAAAUGACAAUACGACUUCUCAAGAUACAAGUGAUGAUUAAGAAAUACCACUCAAAUAGCAAAUUAAAAAAGGAUAAUAUUUCAUAAUUGUACUACUAUAAUUUUGUAAAAGUUAUUUGUGUAAUAAGUUUAUUUUCACCCACUUUUUAAUUAGU
Long non-coding RNA from Daktulosphaira vitifoliae (grape phylloxera), 398 nucleotides. RefSeq lists it as uncharacterized. The transcript has 11 exons. NCBI's taxonomy places the organism in Eukaryota, Metazoa, Arthropoda, Insecta, Hemiptera, Phylloxeridae. The record is from RefSeq and is a predicted model, not a curated record.